AGACUCUCGGCAACGGAUAUCUCGGCUCUUGCAUCGAUGAAGAACGUAGCGAAAUGCGAUACUUGGUGUGAAUUGCAGAAUCCCGUGAACCAUCGAGUCUUUGAACGCAAGUUGCGCCCGAAGCCAUUAGGUCGAGGGCACGCCUGCCUGGGUGUCGCACA
Molecule: ribosomal RNA, 161 nt
Filed under: Podalyria sericea
Lineage: Eukaryota; Viridiplantae; Streptophyta; Magnoliopsida; Fabales; Fabaceae
Description: 5.8S ribosomal RNA
Rfam family: 5.8S ribosomal RNA
About the family: 5.8S ribosomal RNA (5.8S rRNA) is a component of the large subunit of the eukaryotic ribosome.
Source: RNAcentral